Molecule: ribosomal RNA, 464 nt
Filed under: uncultured bacterium
Lineage: Bacteria
Description: partial 16S ribosomal RNA
Rfam family: Bacterial small subunit ribosomal RNA
Source: RNAcentral
GACGAACGCUGGCGGCGUGCUUAACACAUGCAAGUCGAACGGUAAGGCCCCUUCGGGGGUACACGAGUGGCGCACGGGUGAGUAACACGUGGGUGAUCUGCCCUGCACUUCGGGAUAAGCCUGGGAAACUGGGUCUAAUACCGGAUAGGACCACGCUCUGCAUGGAGUGUGGUGGAAAGCUUUUGCGGUGUGGGAUGGGCCCGCGGCCUAUCAGCUUGUUGGUGGGGUGAUGGCCUACCAAGGCGACGACGGGUAGCCGGCCUGAGAGGGUGUCCGGCCACACUGGGACUGAGAUACGGCCCAGACUCCUACGGGAGGCAGCAGUGGGGAAUAUUGCACAAUGGGCGCAAGCCUGAUGCAGCGACGCCGCGUGGGGGAUGACGGCCUUCGGGUUGUAAACCUCUUUCAGUACCGACGAAGCGCAAGUGACGGUAGGUACAGAAGAAGCACCGGCCAACUACGUG